Molecule: ribosomal RNA, 203 nt
Filed under: uncultured bacterium
Lineage: Bacteria
Description: partial 16S ribosomal RNA
Rfam family: Bacterial small subunit ribosomal RNA
Source: RNAcentral
UGAAGGCUGAAAUUCGCCUUCAUGAAGCCGGAAUUGCUAGUAAUGGCAGGUCAGCAUACUGCCGUGAAUACGUUCCCGGGCCUUGUACACACCGCCCGUCACACCAUGAGAGUUGGGAAUACCCGAAGCCCGUGAGCCAACUUUAAAAGAGGCAGCGGUCGAAGGUAGAAUCAAUGAUUGGGGUGAAGUCGUAACAAGGUAAC